This 2904-nucleotide ribosomal RNA is filed under the name Escherichia coli. RNAcentral's name for it is "23S ribosomal RNA". It matches the Rfam family "Bacterial large subunit ribosomal RNA". The record is from RNAcentral. Lineage: Bacteria; Pseudomonadati; Pseudomonadota; Gammaproteobacteria; Enterobacterales; Enterobacteriaceae.
GGUUAAGCGACUAAGCGUACACGGUGGAUGCCCUGGCAGUCAGAGGCGAUGAAGGACGUGCUAAUCUGCGAUAAGCGUCGGUGAGGUGAUAUGAACCGUUAUAACCGGCGAUUUCCGAAUGGGGAAACCCAGUGUGAUUCGUCACACUAUCAUUAACUGAAUCCAUAGGUUAAUGAGGCGAACCGGGGGAACUGAAACAUCUAAGUACCCCGAGGAAAAGAAAUCAACCGAGAUUCCCCCAGUAGCGGCGAGCGAACGGGGAGGAGCCCAGAGCCUGAAUCAGUGUGUGUGUUAGUGGAAGCGUCUGGAAAGGCGCGCGAUACAGGGUGACAGCCCCGUACACAAAAAUGCACAUAUUGUGAGCUCGAUGAGUAGGGCGGGACACGUGGUAUCCUGUCUGAAUAUGGGGGGACCAUCCUCCAAGGCUAAAUACUCCUGACUGACCGAUAGUGAACCAGUACCGUGAGGGAAAGGCGAAAAGAACCCCGGCGAGGGGAGUGAAAAAGAACCUGAAACCGUGUACGUACAAGCAGUGGGAGCCUCUUAAUGGGGUGACUGCGUACCUUUUGUAUAAUGGGUCAGCGACUUAUAUUCUGUAGCAAGGUUAACCGAAUAGGGGAGCCGAAGGGAAACCGAGUCUUAACUGGGCGUUAAGUUGCAGGGUAUAGACCCGAAACCCGGUGAUCUAGCCAUGGGCAGGUUGAAGGUUGGGUAACACUAACUGGAGGACCGAACCGACUAAUGUUGAAAAAUUAGCGGAUGACUUGUGGCUGGGGGUGAAAGGCCAAUCAAACCGGGAGAUAGCUGGUUCUCCCCGAAAGCUAUUUAGGUAGCGCCUCGUGAAUUCAUCUCCGGGGGUAGAGCACUGUUUCGGCAAGGGGGUCAUCCCGACUUACCAACCCGAUGCAAACUGCGAAUACCGGAGAAUGUUAUCACGGGAGACACACGGCGGGUGCUAACGUCCGUCGUGAAGAGGGAAACAACCCAGACCGCCAGCUAAGGUCCCAAAGUCAUGGUUAAGUGGGAAACGAUGUGGGAAGGCCCAGACAGCCAGGAUGUUGGCUUAGAAGCAGCCAUCAUUUAAAGAAAGCGUAAUAGCUCACUGGUCGAGUCGGCCUGCGCGGAAGAUGUAACGGGGCUAAACCAUGCACCGAAGCUGCGGCAGCGACACUAUGUGUUGUUGGGUAGGGGAGCGUUCUGUAAGCCUGUGAAGGUGUACUGUGAGGUAUGCUGGAGGUAUCAGAAGUGCGAAUGCUGACAUAAGUAACGAUAAAGCGGGUGAAAAGCCCGCUCGCCGGAAGACCAAGGGUUCCUGUCCAACGUUAAUCGGGGCAGGGUGAGUCGACCCCUAAGGCGAGGCCGAAAGGCGUAGUCGAUGGGAAACAGGUUAAUAUUCCUGUACUUGGUGUUACUGCGAAGGGGGACGGAGAAGGCUAUGUUGGCCGGGCGACGGUUGUCCCGGUUUAAGCGUGUAGGCUGGUUUUCCAGGCAAAUCCGGAAAAUCAAGGCUGAGGCGUGAUGACGAGGCACUACGGUGCUGAAGCGACAAAUGCCCUGCUUCCAGGAAAAGCCUCUAAGCAUCAGGUAACAUCAAAUCGUACCCCAAACCGACACAGGUGGUCAGGUAGAGAAUACCAAGGCGCUUGAGAGAACUCGGGUGAAGGAACUAGGCAAAAUGGUGCCGUAACUUCGGGAGAAGGCACGCUGAUAUGUAGGUGAAGCGACUUGCUCGUGGAGCUGAAAUCAGUCGAAGAUACCAGCUGGCUGCAACUGUUUAUUAAAAACACAGCACUGUGCAAACACGAAAGUGGACGUAUACGGUGUGACGCCUGCCCGGUGCCGGAAGGUUAAUUGAUGGGGUUAGCGGUAACGCGAAGCUCUUGAUCGAAGCCCCGGUAAACGGCGGCCGUAACUAUAACGGUCCUAAGGUAGCGAAAUUCCUUGUCGGGUAAGUUCCGACCUGCACGAAUGGCGUAAUGAUGGCCAGGCUGUCUCCACCCGAGACUCAGUGAAAUUGAACUCGCUGUGAAGAUGCAGUGUACCCGCGGCAAGACGGAAAGACCCCGUGAACCUUUACUAUUGAGCUUGACACUGAACAUUGAGCCUUGAUGUGUAGGAUAGGUGGGAGGCUUUGAAGUGUGGACGCCAGUCUGCAUGGAGCCGACCUUGAAAUACCACCCUUUAAUGUUUGAUGUUCUAACGUGGGCCCCUUACCGGGGUUGCGGACAGUGUCUGGUGGGUAGUUUGACUGGGGCGGUCUCCUCCUAAAGAGUAACGGAGGAGCACGAAGGUUGGCUAAUCCUGGUCGGACAUCAGGAGGUUAGUGCAAUGGCAUAAGCCAGCUUGACUGCGAGCGUGACGGCGCGAGCAGGUGCGAAAGCAGGUCAUAGUGAUCCGGUGGUUCUGAAUGGAAGGGCCAUCGCUCAACGGAUAAAAGGUACUCCGGGGAUAACAGGCUGAUACCGCCCAAGAGUUCAUAUCGACGGCGGUGUUUGGCACCUCGAUGUCGGCUCAUCACAUCCUGGGGCUGAAGUAGGUCCCAAGGGUAUGGCUGUUCGCCAUUUAAAGUGGUACGCGAGCUGGGUUUAGAACGUCGUGAGACAGUUCGGUCCCUAUCUGCCGUGGGCGCUGGAGAACUGAGGGGGCUGCUCCUAGUACGAGAGGACCGGAGUGGACGCAUCACUGGUGUUCGGGUUGUCAUGCCAAUGGCACUGCCCGGUAGCUAAAUGCGGAAGAGAUAAGUGCUGAAAGCAUCUAAGCACGAAACUUGCCCCGAGAUGAGUUCUCCCUGACUCCUUGAGAGUCCUGAAGGAACGUUGAAGACGACGACGUUGAUAGGCCGGGUGUGUAAGCGCAGCGAUGCGUUGAGCUAACCGGUACUAAUGAACCGUGAGGCUUAACCUU